AUGAAGAUUAAACUGUCUCUUGUAGUNGACCUAUGAAACUGAUCUUGUAGUCCAAAAGCUACAAUAUAUCCACCAGACGAGAAGACCCUGUGGAGCUUUUAAACCAAAACCAAAUAUAUGUCCACUUGGUUUUUAGUUGGGGCAACUUCGGAGCACAAAUUAACCUCCGACAAACCACAAAUCAAGACAAACAAGUCAAAACCCAUACUUGACCCAAUAGUCUGAUCCAGACUAUUUGACCAAUGAACCAAGUUACCCCAGGGAUAACAGCGCUAUCCUCUUUUAGAGUCCCUAUCGACAAGAGGGCUUACGACCUCGAUGUUGGAUCAGGACACC
RNAcentral lists this ribosomal RNA (336 nucleotides) under Mesalina olivieri. Its description in RNAcentral is "partial 16S ribosomal RNA". It matches the Rfam family "Bacterial large subunit ribosomal RNA", at positions 2004 to 2546 of the family's 2925-position model. The record is from RNAcentral. Lineage: Eukaryota; Metazoa; Chordata; Lepidosauria; Squamata; Lacertidae.